Molecule: ribosomal RNA, 470 nt
Filed under: uncultured organism
Description: partial 16S ribosomal RNA
Rfam family: Bacterial small subunit ribosomal RNA
Source: RNAcentral
CACUCCUGCGGGAGGCAGCAGUGAGGAAUAUUGGACAAUGGGUGGAAGCCUGAUCCAGCCAUCCCGCGUGCAGGAAGACGGCCCUAUGGGUUGUAAACUGCUUUUAUCUGGGGAUAAACCUACUUACGUGUAAGUAGCUGAAGGUACCAGAAGAAUAAGCACCGGCUAACUCCGUGCCAGCAGCCGCGGUAAUACGGAGGGUGCAAGCGUUAUCCGGAUUUAUUGGGUUUAAAGGGUCCGUAGGCGGACUGAUAAGUCAGUGGUGAAAUCCGACAGCUUAACUGUCGAACUGCCAUUGAUACUGUUAGUCUUGAGUAAGGUUGAAGUGGCUGGAAUAAGUAGUGUAGCGGUGAAAUGCAUAGAUAUUACUUAGAACACCAAUUGCGAAGGCAGGUCACUAAGUCUUAACUGACGCUGAUGGACGAAAGCGUGGGGAGCGAACAGGAUUAGAAACCCUUGUAGUCCCAUGA